Molecule: ribosomal RNA, 766 nt
Filed under: uncultured bacterium
Lineage: Bacteria
Description: bacterial SSU rRNA
Rfam family: Bacterial small subunit ribosomal RNA
Source: RNAcentral
AGAGUUUGAUCCUGCAGGACGAACGCUGGCGGCGUGCUUAACACAUGCAAGUCGAACGGUGAACCUGCUUCGGUGGGGGAUCAGUGGCGAACGGGUGAGUAACACGUGGNNAACCUGCCCCCGGCUCUGGGAUAACUCCAAGAAAUUGGGGCUAAUACCGGAUAUGACUCUGCCGCAUCUGGUGGUGGAAAGAUUUAUCGGCUGGGGAUGGGCCCGCGGCCUAUCAGCUUGUUGGUGGGGUAGUGGCCUACCAAGGCGACGACGGGUAGCCGGCCUGAGAGGGUGACCGGCCACACUGGGACUGAGACACGGCCCAGACUCCUACGGGAGGCAGCAGUGGGGAAUAUUGCGCAAUGGGCGGAAGCCUGACGCAGCGACGCCGCGUGGGGGAUGACGGCCUUCGGGUUGUAAACCUCUUUCAGCAGGGACGAAGCGGAAGUGACGGUACCUGCAGAAGAAGCACCGGCCAACUACGUGCCAGCAGCCGCGGUAAUACGUAGGGUGCAAGCGUUGUCCGGAAUUAUUGGGCGUAAAGAGCUCGUAGGCGGUCUGUCGCGUCGGCUGUGAAAACCCGAGGCUCAACCUCGGGCCUGCAGUCGAUACGGGCAAACUGGAGUGCUGCAGGGGAGACUGGAAUUCCUGGUGUAGCGGUGAAAUGCGCAGAUAUCAGGAGGAACACCGGUGGCGAAGGCGGGUCUCUGGGCAACAACUGACGCUGAGGAGCGAAAGCGUGGGGAGCGAACAGGAUUAGAUACCCUAGUAGUCC